This 112-nucleotide non-coding RNA is filed under the name Chloroflexota bacterium. RNAcentral's name for it is "Chloroflexi bacterium TPP sequence". It matches the Rfam family "TPP riboswitch aptamer (THI element)". Rfam says of the family: Vitamin B(1) in its active form thiamin pyrophosphate (TPP) is an essential coenzyme that is synthesised by coupling of pyrimidine and thiazole moieties in bacteria. The previously detected thiamin-regulatory element, thi box was extended, resulting in a new, highly conserved RNA secondary structure, the THI element, which is widely distributed in eubacteria and also occurs in some archaea. Lineage: Bacteria; Bacillati; Chloroflexota. The record is from RNAcentral.
AUGACCCGCACGGGGAGCCUGGUGGUCCUAGGCUGAGAGGAAAUCCGAAAGAUUUCGACCCGCGAACCUGAUCCGGAUAAUGCCGGCGGAGGAAUAGCUGCCAUUCAUCAAC